UGCAAAGGAAAAAAAAGGGCAAAGCUUUGAGGGAAAGGAUGGGCAAACGCCAAGGUGGUGGUUUGCACACAACAGCAGUCUGGAUUUCUUUUUAUGUAUAAAACAGUAACUCUCCCGGCUCCGGGAGUGACAGUGAUUAUCAUGCCCCGUUUCCAUGGUGAUCAUCCUUAUGGACUGUCUGUUUUAGAAGCUCCUCUGGAAUGUCUCUUACUGUUGUUAAGGUCGUCUCUUUUCCAGGUGGUCAGUGAUUUCCCCGAAGUACACUGUUGUCCCAGGGGAUUUAAAAAAUGGUGACUCAGGUCAAGCUUUAGCUGAUCGUGUGUACUGCACUCUUGUCUUCGUUAUCACCGGGCCGUUGGCCAGAGCAACCAGGAGCGCUGCGGGUCUGGCUGCCGGGUGAAGGACGCACGACCCCGAGUCUUGGCUGACCACUGAUGGCGCAGCUGUGCGCACUCUCUGACCUUAACAUUUCACCACGCUCUGUGGGGACUUUUAUCUGAGACCUAACAGAUGGUUAUAAAUGCAUUGCACACCGAGGUCUUUAGAUUGUUAACUGUAAUUGGCAUGUUGUUUUGAUUCCCGUGGUCCCUCAGGCCAUCUAAUGUCUGACUACCUGCCUAAAAUAAGGUCACCCAGCCAGGUCCGGGUUUCAUCCCGGAGUCUCUGUUCCCAAUCACUCGGCCACGUUCUGCUUCUGAGUAGUAAUCAGCACUAGGAACCGAGGUAAAAUACCAGCCUCAGGGUCAUCAGGAGUAACAUCGCCACCAUCGGGGCGUUCAAGGCAACUCGCUAAGAGUGUCCCUCCUCAUUUAUUCCACCAAAACACACAGAGGAUCGACUAUGUGCCAACAACCCCAUUUUACAGAUGGAGGAGAGUACCAUCCCCGCCCAACCUCUGCAGCGGGGCCUCCCUAGCCCACCGAUGGGGGUCAUUUGGUUAGCCCUCAAUGACUCGGGAAAGCGGUGCCUACUGGCGCAGCACACGCCCACGUCGCCCGGGCGUCUCUGAGGAGCGGUUGGGGCGGGGCCG
This 1030-nucleotide long non-coding RNA is filed under the name Heterocephalus glaber (naked mole-rat). RNAcentral's name for it is "lncRNA (ENSHGLG00100034478.1)". The record is from RNAcentral. Lineage: Eukaryota; Metazoa; Chordata; Mammalia; Rodentia; Bathyergidae.